UGGAAGAGCCGUCGCUCAACGGAUAAAAGGUACUCCGGGGAUAACAGGCUGAUCCCGCCCAAGAGUCCAUAUCGACGGCGGGGUUUGGCACCUCGAUGUCGGCUCAUCGCAUCCUGGGGCUGAAGUAGGUCCCAAGGGUUGGUCUGUUCGCCCAUUAAAGCGGUACGUGAGCUGGGUUUAGAACGUCGUGAGACAGUUCGGUCCCUAUCUGUUGCGGGCGUAGGAUAUUUGAAGGGAGCUGCUCCUAGUACGAGAGGACCAGAGUGGACGAACCUCUAUUGUACCAGUUGUUCCGCCAGGGGCAUCGCUGGGUAGAUAUGUUCGGAAGGGAUAACCGCUGAAAGCAUAUAAGUGGGAAGCCCACCCUAAGAUAAGAUAUCCCGUGGUAUUCAAGGUUAUUUUAAGCUCUAUCGUAAAGGUUCUUCGGAACUUUUAUAUCGGAGUAGCGAAUAAUUUUGAUCCACCUUAAGACUCCUGGGAGAUCACCAGGUUAAUAGACUGCAGGUGUAAGCACAGUAAUGUGUUCAGCCGAGCAGUACUAAUCAGUCGUGUGGCUUGAUCAU
Non-coding RNA from Candidatus Desantisbacteria bacterium CG2_30_40_21, 563 nucleotides. The record is from Rfam. NCBI's taxonomy places the organism in Bacteria, Candidatus Desantisiibacteriota.